Molecule: ribosomal RNA, 301 nt
Filed under: uncultured bacterium
Lineage: Bacteria
Description: partial 16S ribosomal RNA
Rfam family: Bacterial small subunit ribosomal RNA
Source: RNAcentral
CAGUCGCCGCGGGAAUACGUAGGGUGCAAGCGUUAAUCAGAAUUACUGGGCGUAAAGCGUGCGCAGGCGGUUUGUUAAGACGGAUGUGAAAUCCCCGGGCUCAACCUGGGAACUGCAUUCGUGACUGGCAAGCUAGAGUAUGGUAGAGGAGGGUGGAAUUCCACGUGUAGCAGUGAAAUGCGUAGAGAUGUGGAGGAACACCGAUGGCGAAGGCAGCCCCCUGGGCCAAUACUGACGCUCAUGCACGAAAGCGUGGGGAGCAAACAGGAUUAGAUACCCCCGUAGUCCCUGUCUCUUAUAC